AUAGAGACUCAGAGCUGCAUAUCAAUAAGCGGAGGAAAAGAAACUAACAAGGAUUCCCCUUAGUAACGGCGAGUGAAGCGGGAAGAGCUCAAAUUUGAAAUCUUAAAGGGUUUCCCUUUACGAAUUGUAGUUUAAAGAAGUGUUUUCUGUUGAGGUUUUGGUAAAAGUUCUUUGGAAAAAGACAUCAAAGAGGGUGAGAAUCCCGUAUUUGACCAUUAUUUCCAGCUUUGUGAUACACUUUCAAAGAGUCGGAUUGUUUGGGAAUGCAGUCCAAAAUGGGUGGUAAAUUUCAUCUAAAGCUAAAUAUUGGCGAGAGACCGAUAGCGAACAAGUACCGUGAGGGAAAGAUGAAAAGAACUUUGAAAAGAGAGUUAAACAGUACGUGAAAUUGUCAAAAGGGAAGCGUUUGACACCAGUGUUGUUUUUCUGAAAAUCAAUUAAAGAACUGUUUAUGCUAAGUUGUUUAGACUUUAUCAGCUAACUGUUUAGUUUUGAGCUCUUUCUUUAAUGCACUUCUCAGUUAACAAGUCAACAUCAAUUUCUUUUGCUGUAAAAAAGCUUGAGGAAGGUGGCUUGAGAUUCGUCUUAAGUGUUUAUAGCCUCCUUGCCUAUGCAGUCGGAGAGAUUGAGGUCUGCAGCGUAGAUCCUUCGGGGCUAAAUGCAUUUGUGCUAAGUUAUAGCAUUUUAUAGACAACUUGUUGACUAUGAUUUGUCUUGUAGCUUACUCGCUUAUGUUAUUUUACCUACGCUUAGGAUGUUGAGUAGCGACAUACGCAC
This 777-nucleotide ribosomal RNA is filed under the name uncultured Neocallimastigales. RNAcentral's name for it is "partial large subunit ribosomal RNA". It matches the Rfam family "Eukaryotic large subunit ribosomal RNA", at positions 23 to 649 of the family's 3401-position model. Lineage: Eukaryota; Fungi; Neocallimastigomycota; Neocallimastigomycetes; Neocallimastigales. The record is from RNAcentral.